AAGUUUUUGUGUUACAAAUAUAUCUUUUUAAAACAUUCAUUAUAAUUAAAAUUAAAGUAUGCAAACAAUACUUAUAACUAUAUUUUGGAUGAUUUGUAUAUUAUUAGCCAUGUAUUGUUGGUCUGGAAGUAUAUCUAAAGAUCAAGAUGGUGUUCAGAAUAAUAAUGUACCUAAAAUAGUAAUCGAUUUUAGUUCUGAUACGAAGCAAAGUACAUCUUCCAUUGAAUCUUUAGGACACUCAGAUAAUGAAGGUAGAAGAAAAUAUAUGCAAAAAUUAAAAUAUGAGAUUAAAACUCGGUGGCCGAGUACAACGUCCAUAAAAAAAUAAUUAUAUAAAAAUCAACUUAAGAUUAAUCACAUUCAUGAUCAAGGUCUACUUGUUGAUCUUUAUUGUUAAUGAUUUGAAAGACUACAGGAGAUACACUUAUUCCACAUAGAAGCUGGCGUUCGAUAUAUUUAUAAUGUCAAAAUAAGAUUAAAUAAACUGAAUUCAAGAAAAACAUAAUUGAUGAUAUCUUAUCACACUCUCUUGCUGUUACUGAUAUGAAAUAUGUGUUAUUAGAUCGUCCUAUGUCAUGUAUAUGACACAAAUUAUAUAUUAAACAUAAUAUAAAUUUUAUUACAUAUCUGUGUUCUAAAAUAUUGUUUUACUUAUAAAAACUUCAAUUAUAUAUAUUUAUUUGUAGUAGAGAGAUCACACACAUAUGUCUAGCAGUUCGAAAGAUAUAAUAUAUAAAUUUCUUUUUUAUUAUAUUUUUAUAUAAUUACUUCGAAAUUUUUCAAGGUUUUCACCAAACUAAAAUGUCUAUUAAUAAGCAAUAGUUGUAUCAUGAUAAAGAGAAAUACAUAAAUUAUAUAAACAAAAGAAAUUGUAAACAGACAUUGUCUAUAAAUUUAUUUGUACUAAGAAUAGUUUUAACAAAAAAACGAAUAAAGUAAUUCUACAAAUUAAAUAUUAAAUAAUUACAAAUUCACAGUGUGACGUCGUGCAUCUUGUACAUAUAUACAUAUAACAUUACAAAAUGAUAAUAAUUAAUGUUAAUUAAAAAUCGUUCUAAAUUAAUAAUGUAGAAUCUAAGAUUCUUUCGUAAAUUUGUCACUCUGUAUCACAUAUGCUUAAAUAAGGAUGUUUUUAAGGAUACACAUAUCGCGUUUGGUAAUCUUCCUAUCCUGUCUGUUGCAUAAUAAAUAUGUUAUUAACACAGAUAACACAUAUAAACUUUUGAAUAUCUAUUCUCUUUGGUCAGAUGUAGUUGUACCUUUAUUGCUUCAACUGCAUGACUUGAUAAGCACGAGCCGUGACUUGUCGAGUUCACUUUUUCACACAGUAAAUUACUCUUCUAAAAUAUAAGAAUAAUUUAAUUUACGCAUUUCAAACAACGUACUUUAGACAACAUAUGAAAGACUGAAAUCUGGUAGAAUGCAUUACAUACACGUAAAUGAAAAUAGGACAAUAAAAGAA
Long non-coding RNA from Pseudomyrmex gracilis, 1462 nucleotides. RefSeq lists it as uncharacterized. The transcript has 3 exons. Lineage: Eukaryota; Metazoa; Arthropoda; Insecta; Hymenoptera; Formicidae. The record is from RefSeq and is a predicted model, not a curated record.